UACGUAAGGAGCAAGCGUUGUCCGGAUUUACUGGGCGUAAAGAGCUCGUAGGUGGUUUGUCGCGUCGUCUGUGAAAUUCCGGGGCUUAACCUCGGGCGUGCAGGCGAUACGGGCAAUACUUGAGUGCUGUAGGGGAGACUGGAAUUCCUGGUGUAGCGGUGAAAUGCGCAGAUAUCAGGAGGAACACCGAUGGCGAAGGCAGGUCUCUGGGCAGUAACUGACGCUGAGGAGCGAAAGCAUGGGUAGCGAACAGGAUUAGA
Molecule: ribosomal RNA, 260 nt
Filed under: uncultured prokaryote
Description: partial 16S ribosomal RNA
Rfam family: Bacterial small subunit ribosomal RNA
Source: RNAcentral